CCUACGGGAGACUGCAGUGGGGAAUAUUGGGCAAUGGGCGCAAGCCUUACCCAGCAAUACCGCGUGAGUGAAGAAGGCCUUCGGAUUGUAAAGCUCUUUGCUCAGGGACGAACAGAUGAAGGUAACUGAAGAACUAGCCCCGGCUAACUACGUGGCAGCAGCCCCCGUUAAACGUAGGGGGCGAGCGUUGCACCGGAUGACUGGGCGUAAAGGGUGCGUUGGGGGCAUAAGCAGGUAGGAGUUGAAUACCAUGGGCUUAACUUGUGUGCUGCAUCUAAGACUGUUGGGCGUGAGUGCGGGAGAGGUUAAUGGAAUUCCUAGUGUAGCGGUGGAAUGCGUAGAUAUUAGGAGGAACACCAGAGGCGAAGGCGAUUAACUGGACCGUAACUGACGCUGAGGCACGAAAGUGUGGGUAGCAAACAGGAUUAGAUACCCCUGUAGUC
This 443-nucleotide ribosomal RNA is filed under the name uncultured bacterium. RNAcentral describes it as "partial 16S ribosomal RNA". It matches the Rfam family "Bacterial small subunit ribosomal RNA", at positions 338 to 795 of the family's 1533-position model. The record is from RNAcentral.